RNAcentral lists this unclassified non-coding RNA (3026 nucleotides) under Leishmania donovani. RNAcentral's name for it is "gene:LdHU3.33.1370(CDS-product:beta_tubulin)". Lineage: Eukaryota; Euglenozoa; Kinetoplastea; Trypanosomatida; Trypanosomatidae. The record is from RNAcentral.
UAACCUUCCCCCAACCCCCCUCCUCCACACAAAGCAUACCCUUUCUUUUCGCCUUUCGCCACUCUGCCAUCAUGCGUGAGAUCGUUUCCUGCCAGGCCGGCCAGUGCGGCAACCAGAUCGGCUCUAAGUUUUGGGAGGUCAUUGCCGACGAACAUGGUGUCGAUCCGACGGGCUCCUACCAGGGCGACUCGGAUCUGCAGCUGGAGCGCAUCAACGUCUACUUCGAUGAGUCGACGGGAGGCCGCUACGUGCCGCGCGCCGUGCUGAUGGACCUCGAGCCCGGUACUAUGGACUCCGUUCGCGCCGGCCCGUACGGCCAGCUGUUCCGCCCGGACAACUUCAUCUUUGGUCAGUCCGGCGCUGGCAACAACUGGGCCAAGGGCCACUACACCGAGGGCGCGGAGCUGAUCGACUCCGUGCUUGAUGUGUGCCGCAAGGAGGCGGAGAGCUGCGACUGCCUGCAGGGCUUCCAGCUGUCUCACUCCCUCGGCGGCGGCACGGGCUCCGGCAUGGGCACGCUGCUCAUUUCCAAGCUGCGCGAGGAGUACCCGGACCGGAUCAUGAUGACCUUCUCCGUCAUCCCGUCCCCCCGCGUGUCGGAUACCGUUGUGGAGCCGUACAACACGACCCUCUCUGUGCACCAGCUCGUGGAGAACUCCGACGAGUCCAUGUGCAUCGACAACGAGGCGCUGUACGAUAUUUGCUUCCGCACGCUGAAGCUGACGACGCCGACGUUCGGUGACCUGAACCACCUCGUCGCCGCUGUGAUGUCUGGCGUGACCUGCUGCCUGCGCUUCCCUGGCCAGCUGAACUCUGACCUGCGCAAGCUUGCCGUGAACCUCGUGCCGUUCCCGCGCCUGCACUUCUUCAUGAUGGGCUUCGCGCCGCUGACGAGCCGCGGGUCGCAGCAGUACCGCGGCCUGUCCGUCGCGGAGCUGACGCAGCAGAUGUUCGACGCCAAGAACAUGAUGCAGGCCGCCGACCCGCGCCACGGCCGCUACCUCACCGCGUCCGCGCUGUUCCGCGGCCGCAUGUCGACCAAGGAGGUGGACGAGCAGAUGCUGAACGUGCAGAACAAGAACUCCAGCUACUUCAUUGAGUGGAUCCCGAACAACAUCAAGUCCUCCAUCUGCGAUAUCCCGCCCAAGGGUCUCAAGAUGUCCGUCACCUUCAUCGGCAACAACACCUGCAUCCAGGAGAUGUUCCGCCGCGUUGGUGAGCAGUUCACGGGUAUGUUCCGCCGCAAGGCCUUCCUCCACUGGUACACCGGUGAGGGCAUGGACGAGAUGGAGUUCACGGAGGCCGAGUCCAACAUGAACGACCUCGUCUCUGAGUACCAGCAGUACCAGGACGCCACCGUCGAGGAGGAGGGCGAGUACGACGAGGAGGAGGAGGCCUACUAGACAGUGUGUGGGUGAGGACGGUCAACGCGGAGAUGUCGGUUUACCUAUGUGUUUCCGCUAAGUGAAGUCGGCGUGGACACGUUUGCCUGGUAGUGAGUUCUGCUCGAGGCUACAUCCUGGCUUCGUUUGACGUUGGGGUGCACGGCAGCGAUGAGAGGGCUCGUCGUGGUCUCACUUCUCGUCUUUUCAGUGAAGUAUGUGUCGCUGCUCUUGUCGCACUCUGUGACUGUAUGCCUUUCGGCGAUGACUGUUAGGUGCGUUCUGCCGAUCGAGAGGGAAGGAGGACCACGUGGCGUUUGGUUUCUCGAGGCAUCCUCUUCUUGUUAGUGGUAGACAGCGAUCCGUAAAAUUCUGUACAGUCAUAGCGUCUCUGCUUUUCGCUGUAACGCCAGACGCAUGCACGCUGAUAAGCCGGUUGGUUGAGUUCAGGAAUGCUCUCUGUCGCUGCUGGCUCGUCUAGCCCUUUGCCAGGGCGCGCGCGCGCAUGUCUUUCUGUGCUCGUGUGUGCGCGCCUUCUCCUAUAACACACGCUGUACGAAAACACUUUUGUGUUUCUCUUUUUGUUUUUUUUUUGUUUUUUCUUUUCGUGCGUAUUCUGAAAUGGCCACGUGGAGCUAAGCAGGAAUGGGGCAAAAAUGAUGACGGUGUGGUCAUGGGUGGACGAGAGCAGCGAGCGGCGAUGAAGGCGGAAAGGGCUAGUGGUGUGUUUUAGUUGAAGAAAGUGCCCCCCUCCCCCUCCCCGCCUUCUCCCUUUUGAUGCCUCGGUGCGUUUGCGCAGCUUCCUCUCUCGCCGUAGCCUUUGCCGCGCUUUCGUCAACACGCAUCUGCCGAUCAGCGCUCCCGCAUACAGGGCCUGAUGCAAAGGGCUCGGUUCAAGUCGUAAAGGCCUCUCUCUCUUUCCAUAUAUAUCUGUCUCCGUGCGUGUUCGACGCUGAAGUUUCGCGGCUCUCUGCGCACGUGUGGUGGGUGCUCGUUACAGGGAGCACUGCCGCCGAGGCUCGUUGUGGCGCUGUUGAUCCGGCGUGUAUUUUUUUUUUGUUGUUUUCUUUAGCGAAAAAAAAACGAAAAAGAAAUGCAUGUGAGUCUUGUCCGUCCUUCUUGCUGUUGGUGCCUCGGUGCCUGCACGCCGGUGCGAGACUCACGCACCACCCCACCUCCCCCAAUGCACACGGAGAAGGGAAGAUGUAUGCACCGAGAACAUGCGUCAAAGGGAAAAAGGAUGACGCCCACACGCGCACGCACGCACGAACGGGGGGAAACGAGAGUCUACGCACGAGAGACAUGGGAAAGAGCAAGCGAAACGAAAACAGCCGGAACAGAGCGGUCUGGAAUGUAUGUAGACAAGUGACGAACACGAAACUGCCAAAGAGAGAAUAUACACAGCAGCCUACACUUAUACCCUGUAUAUAUGUGCAAAAGGAAUAUGUGCUGUCGGUUCCACGGUCAGUGCCGUGCCUAUUAUUCGCAUCUCUUAACACACGCACAGGACCUCGUUCUUUUCCGGCUGACUGCCCAGCCUCAGAUGGGCGCGUGGGGUGCCCGUCACCGAAGAAGGAGGGGCGACGGUUGGGGCGGGUGGAAAGAGAGAGUCCCUUUUCAUUGAAUGUGGGCCGAGAAAGGGUC